CCACAUAGAACUCCACGUCACAAAAUCUUCUCUUGACGUUGCGAUAAGUGUCGCAGACAUAAAACUCAGGGUUUCAUUAAUUCUGGUGUAGGCUUCGAUUUUCAUUCGGUGUAAUCGCGUGUUUGGGCCAAAUGUCGUGGUGCGGCCCGUGAAGUAGAGUUCUUCUGUAACCCUAAUACUGCAGAGACGAUGAAUUGGCGAUGCGACGGCGACAUAGUGACGUUUGUGCUUCUUCUCAUCACCAAUCCAUUUCCAAUCAAACGUUCAGAUCAACUGGAAAGACACCAACGGAGACGUUCUUGAAUGAUGUCGGUCUCGAAUUGGGACGAGCGGAGCUUCGAUUCUGGCUAAUUGAUUUGUUUGGAAUUUCUGGGAAGCGAGGAACACGGCGAAGGGGCAUUUUAAUUGGUUUAUAGCUCCUGCUUAUUGACGAACAGAAAAAAAGGUUCUGCAAUUCCAGUCGGUGAUUUUGGAAAUAUGAAGAAGUGCAAGCAAGAAGCUUUAUCGGACAUUUAAUCUGCUAGAAGACUAAACUAGUAAAGAACUCAAGAUUCUUAUCAUCAUGGAGCAUAAACAUCCUCUACCCAUCCAUGGCAAAGUUACACAGUUUUUCCACAACAAUUGACACUCAACGUAAUUCUUCACAACAAAAUCCUCACAUCAGGUUAUGGUAAAUCGCAGAUUGUUAGAUGCAUCUGAUGGUUAUAGACUAUGAGAAUUAUGGAAUACUUAAUGCCGAGUACCAUUCAAUAGUGAGGAGGCGGUAGAGAAGUCGAUUCCAUUCUCCGGGUGGUGCGCUGCUUUGAGGACAACGAUAUUUAUCAUGUCGGUGGCAAAGUAAAUCCCACGUCUGACCUUGAUUUCAUCAAUCUCAAACUCAUUUUCUGCGACUUGGAUCAGAUUUGUAAAAUACUCGAGAGACUUACGAAAUGCAAGGCAAGAGGAUUCACAAUGGAAAUUGAGAAAUUAAAAUUAUCUGAGAUGUCAAGCAAAUAAGGCGUCAUUGAAGUGGCGAAGAUGUGAGCAGUGCUUACCUCUCAUAUACCCAACUUCAGUAGUAAACUUUUGUGAUUCUCUUUAUAACGACCGAUGAUUUGUUUGAAACCAUAUGUUUUUGAAUCCUCAGAGUUUCAUUUUAGAGCAAGAUCUAAAGUGAGGUACAUGUGCAGCAUUUACAAGCUACACGAUGAAGCCAAAUACAAGGUCUUCAUGCGCGGGAUAUCUGAUGAGUCAAAAUGGGAGCACCAAUUUAAAUGUUGUUCUAAAGAUGGUGUAAAGAAAUGCUGUUCUAAAGCUUCCCAUAAACCAUGUUUUGUUCUUGGAUAUGAUCUUGCAACUUUGAAUUUAAUAAUUUAUUAUUUUGUUUGACUUAAUAAUUAUUAAGUUGUCAAAAUUCGUUUAUAAAAAAAUUAAUAAAUAUUAGCUCUUUUGUCUU
Molecule: long non-coding RNA, 1435 nt
Organism: Brassica napus (rape)
Lineage: Eukaryota; Viridiplantae; Streptophyta; Magnoliopsida; Brassicales; Brassicaceae
Exons: 6
Source: RefSeq, a predicted model, not a curated record